This 49-nucleotide transfer RNA is filed under the name Acrocladium auriculatum. RNAcentral's name for it is "partial tRNA-Phe". It matches the Rfam family "tRNA", at positions 1 to 48 of the family's 71-position model. From Rfam's summary of the family: Transfer RNA (tRNA) molecules are approximately 80 nucleotides in length. The record is from RNAcentral. Lineage: Eukaryota; Viridiplantae; Streptophyta; Bryopsida; Hypnales; Lepyrodontaceae.
GCCGGAAUAGCUCAGUUGGUAGAGCAGAGGACUGAAAAUCCUCGUGUAC